This 209-nucleotide ribosomal RNA is filed under the name uncultured bacterium. RNAcentral's name for it is "partial 16S ribosomal RNA". It matches the Rfam family "Bacterial small subunit ribosomal RNA", at positions 568 to 776 of the family's 1533-position model. The record is from RNAcentral.
AGCGUAGACGGAUGGACAAGUCUGAUGUGAAAAACUGGGGCUCAACCCCGGGACUGCAUUGGAAACUGCCCGUCUUGAGUGCCGGAGAGGUAAGCGGAAUUCCUAGUGUAGCGGUGAAAUGCGUAGAUAUUAGGAGGAACACCAGUGGCGAAGGCGGCUUACUGGACGGUAACUGACGUUGAGGCUCGAAAGCGUGGGGAGCAAACAAG